Molecule: ribosomal RNA, 200 nt
Filed under: uncultured Glomus
Lineage: Eukaryota; Fungi; Glomeromycota; Glomeromycetes; Glomerales; Glomeraceae
Description: partial small subunit ribosomal RNA
Rfam family: Eukaryotic small subunit ribosomal RNA
Source: RNAcentral
CCAAUAGCGUAUAUUAAAGUUGUUGCAGUUAAAAAGCUCGUAGUUGAAUUUCGGGAUCAGUUGGUCGGUCGUGCCUCGGUACGUACUGGUCAAAUUGAUUCCUACCUUCUGACGAACCACGAUGUCAUUAAUUUGGUGUCGCGGGAAAUCAGGACUGUUACUUUGAAAAAAUUAGAGUGUUUAAAGCAAGCUCGCGCUUG